This 373-nucleotide transfer-messenger RNA is filed under the name Microbacteriaceae. Its description in RNAcentral is "Agrococcus pullicola Standard tmRNA". It matches the Rfam family "transfer-messenger RNA". Rfam says of the family: Bacterial tmRNA, also known as 10Sa RNA or SsrA, is named for its dual tRNA and mRNA-like properties. Its role is to liberate the mRNA from a stalled ribosome. The record is from RNAcentral. Lineage: Bacteria; Bacillati; Actinomycetota; Actinomycetes; Micrococcales. RNAcentral also lists the same sequence under 1 other name.
GGGGAUGAUCGGUUUCGACAUUGUUCAUAUACGUGGUGGGAAGCGGGUCGAGGAUGCAGGGUUAUCUCGUAAACGCCCCCUGCAAAACUAUAGGUGCCAACGCAAAGCGCACCGACUUCGCCCUCGCUGCAUAAGGCGAGCCCGAAGUCCGUCAGACCCGAGUUGCUCUCGCUCGGGACCCUGGCGUCGUUUUGAGAGCUCGCUGCACUACUGCGUCACAGGGUAGUGCGGGACUUUUCCUGUGACUGGGCCUGUCGUCCUAGAUGUCUGUGACAAAGGGCGGGGCCGAGUAGAACGAAUACCCACAGACUGCACCCGGAGAAGCCUCACUGUGUGGCAAUGGACGGGGGUUCGAUUCCCCCCAUCUCCACAA